GUAGAAGUAAUUAAGAGUGUAUGGCGGAUGCCUAGGCUCUCAGAGGCGAAGAAAGACGUGAGACACUGCGAUAAGCCAUGAUGAGGAGUGAACUAUCCUAUGAUUCAUGGAUUUCUGAAUGGGGCAACCCGGUAUGUUGAAGACAUAUCACCCUUCGGGGGGCGAACGUGGGGAACUGAAACAUCUAAGUACCCAUAGGAGAAGAAAACAAUAGUGAUUUCCUGAGUAGCGGCGAGCGAAACGGAAUUAGCCCAAACCAAUGACGUUUCGGCGUUAUUGGGGUUGUAGGACCACAAUAUAAGAGAGUGAUUAUAGAGGAAUGCUUUGGGAAGAGCAACCAUAGAGAGUGAUAGUCUCGUACUUAAAAUAAGAACUUAAUUUAGUGGUAUCCUGAGUAGGGCGGGACACGAGUAAUCCUGCUUGAAUCUGCCAGGACCAUCUGGUAAGGCUAAAUACU
This 457-nucleotide ribosomal RNA is filed under the name uncultured Flavobacteriaceae bacterium. RNAcentral's name for it is "bacterial LSU rRNA". It matches the Rfam family "Bacterial large subunit ribosomal RNA", at positions 1 to 474 of the family's 2925-position model. The record is from RNAcentral. Lineage: Bacteria; Pseudomonadati; Bacteroidota; Flavobacteriia; Flavobacteriales; Flavobacteriaceae.